GGCAACUUGGCCGAGUGGUCUAUGGCGCAUGACUCAAGAUCUCCAUCUUACACGGUGUCAAACAUCGUGAGCAUUCAUGUCUUCGAAAGGGGGCGAGGGUUCGAAUCCCUCAGUUGUCA
Molecule: transfer RNA, 119 nt
Organism: Penicillium oxalicum 114-2
Lineage: Eukaryota; Fungi; Ascomycota; Eurotiomycetes; Eurotiales; Aspergillaceae
Rfam family: tRNA
About the family: Transfer RNA (tRNA) molecules are approximately 80 nucleotides in length.
Source: Rfam